GGGCAGGGCACGGGCUGCCCCCGAGCGGGGGCAGGGGGAACCGCGCCGGGCAGCCGCCUCACCGAGACCCGCUCCUGGGGCUGCGCGGGGCCGCGGCCGCCCGCCGCUGCCGGCCCUCCGUCGCCUCCGUCCGCCAUCUUGGGAGCGAAAGACGCGGCCGCCGCCGCCCGCCUCAAGCUUCCGCCAGCCCCCGGGCCCGCUCCGCCGCCCGCCCCUCACCGCGGCUCGGCUGCGCCGCGCAGGCGCCGCCCGCUCCCUGCGCAAGCGCCGCGGCACCGAGCCCGGCCCGGCACUGCCCCGGGGCCAGGAGGUGCCCGGCAGGAGGGAGCCCGGGGAGCGCCGUGAGGCGAGGCGAGGCGGGGAGCCUGCUUCCUGCCGCGGGAGGCCGAUCUGGAUGUGUCGGCACUCCUUACUGCUUCAAGCCUCCAAGCAACUCGCACAUUCUUCAAAUACCGCUGCGGAUGGCAUAACAUUUUCAGGUGAACAUUUCAGGUAUAUUUGUUAGAUUUUCCUCAGUGCAUCGGGCCAGAGAUACUCCUAAAGCUUUUCUUAUGUCGUAGGAACACAUAAUUGUACCUUUCCAUGGUAGCUUCAUACCCAUUUUUUAUUGAAAUGCUCUAAAAUACAGUCAGCAGCAGAUUGAAGGGGCAUGACGAGAACAACCAUAUGUUAGGGCACGUUUUAGCAAAGUUGUAUCAUGCUACCAGAUGAGAAAGAUUCAAGAAAACAUAGUCUUGAAUCUUUGUUUGCCAGAAAGUCUGUUAAGUACUUAUGAUUUCAAAGAUAUAUAAAUUGCGGAUGAAGCAGUCUUACCAAUUCUCCUUUGUACAUUCCACUGACAAAGCAGGUGACACAUAGGUAGUCAGUCUUCUAUACCAAAAAGAGUCAAACAACUAGGAAAACGUACAGUGAAAAUGGCAUAAAGUAAUAUUAAUUUAGUAGCAAUUAUGUUAUUGUACCUGGGGAAGGCCAAUAGAGGAGCCCAAUUUGAAUUAGAUGUCUUGAACAGAGCAGAUUUAAAGUAAACUGAAGAAUUAACAUGGUGUAUAGAAAUCUUGGGAGUAAUUAUGAGAAGUCACUGCACAUUUAUUUAUCUUACUGAAAUCUGUCACUUAGAAUUACUGUGUAUAUAUUGUAUCUGUGUCAGUGUUAGCCACAGAAUAUGAAAAACUGACUGAAUUUUGUAGCUUUACUCAUUGCCAAUGAGCCAAUUAAAAAUCAAUACAGAGCUUCAUCUCUUUUUCUUUGAAUGUAUUGCGAAUUUGUACCCAACCCUAUCUGACAGCACAGCUGACUGGUAACCAGCAGUGCUGUUUGUGCAACAGCCGAGUUUAGACUGCAACUGCUAUGGAUUUUGAAGAGUCCUCCUCAUGUUUUAGUAUCAACACCAGCAAUUGUAUAAUCAAGUUUCUGAUGUAGUCCAGCAAGAGAAGCAAGGCUGUGAUGCCAAGAUAGCAACAAACAAGCUGAAGCAGCAAGAGGACUGCCGGCAGUCCCCUCUGCUGUGAGGCAAACAUCUUGUGUGGCUGCAUCUUUUAGCUGAACUAUUGUUACAAUUUUGUUUAACUAUGAGACUUUUAGAAGAAGUUAUGCUAAUAUAAACCACCUGCUUUAGAUGAACAAGACUAUAGACUUUUAAACAAAAAAAAAAAAAGAGGAAGACCUGGAAUUUACUUAUGCUAGGUAGGAGACAGCAAACUAAGUGACAAUAAACCUUUGAAAUAACAAGUUUACACUAAUACACAGGCAGAAAUGUCACAAAACAGUAAAAUCUCAACGGAUACUAAAAUAAUAGAGGGAAUAAGAACAAAAUGGGAAUUCAGAUAAGUUGUAAUAGAGAGAAUGCUGAAGCUUGGCACUCCUGUUUGCUAGAGCUGAAAUAAAAUGGUAGAGCUUCAGGAAGAAAAUGAGCAAAGUAGGAAGAUUACCAGGAGGACCGAUUGCUAACUCUUGGGUUACAAGUUGAUGUCUGGAGGGUUGAGAUGCAUUACACAGACAAACAAGGUGGGAUCCACCUACCAACAAACAAAAACAACUAAAUAUAUAUAUGUAUUAAGUUCCACAAAAGAGCAAAUUUAGCAAGAACAUCUGGAAAAGGGUGUAAUAUGUUAAUAAAGCUUAGGUGUUUUGUUUUCUUUGAUCAAUGCUAAGAAAUUAAAUCUUUGUCCUAAAAGAAAUUAAUGAGGAGUGUCAGGGUAAUGAAAAGUAAUACCAAAGUAGAAAGUUCUAAGUCUGAAAAGUUUGUAAUGCUACAUUAAAUAGCAAACUGAUGUGGCAGAAGCUUUUUCAGCUAAAUUCCUGGUAAGACUGUUGGCAAAAAGAAAACAGCAAACGCAGACAGUUAGUGAAAGAGCAAAGAGUGAAUUAGCAAUUACGAAACCGUGUAGUUGCCCUGGCAAGGUUUAUCAUGGUGUAUGUGGGAAAAAAAAAAAAAAAAAAAAGAAAAAAAAAAAGGCCCUAAAAAAGGCUCCUAAAGGCCCUAAAAUGAAUUUUUAAAUCAGGAGCAAAAGAAGUCAGUCAGCUUUCUGCGCGGUGACAGAAAGCCAAGAGAGGGUGUCGGUGUGCGGGGCUGGGUGGGCAGCGGGACGAGCCACCCAUCUCCUCUCCUUGCGCUUCUAUCGUCCCUGCGGCGACAGCCCCGCCGGCGGGCGGAAUUCCCCUUAAAAACACCAAAUCCGGCAAACCCCGGGAGGAAGCGGGCAGCUCCCCCCACAGAGGGGGCCGGCACGGGUCCUCCCAGCCAACCAUAGAGGCGCG
This 2757-nucleotide long non-coding RNA is filed under the name Anas platyrhynchos (mallard). RNAcentral describes it as "lncRNA (ENSAPLG00020003000.1)". The record is from RNAcentral. Lineage: Eukaryota; Metazoa; Chordata; Aves; Anseriformes; Anatidae.